CCCUUAGAUGUUCUGGGCGGCCCGCGCACUACAUUGGCACUGGCAACAAGAUCCUAGAUCUGAUACUUCGGGGUAUUCUACCAACUGGUGUCGUGACUGGGAUUAACCCCUGCAAUUAUUGGUUAUGAACGAGGAAUUCCUUGUAAUCACGGUUUAUCAACCCGUGUCGAAUGCGUCCCUGCCCUUUGUACACACCGCCCGUCGCUCCUACCGAUGAAUCGUCCGGUGAAGUUCAUGGAGUCGCGGCUGCUCCAGCUGUUUUCGAAGUGAAAUGGACCUCAUGAUUUAGAGGAAGGAGAAGUCGUAACA
This 309-nucleotide ribosomal RNA is filed under the name uncultured eukaryote. RNAcentral's name for it is "partial 18S ribosomal RNA". It matches the Rfam family "Eukaryotic small subunit ribosomal RNA", at positions 1470 to 1796 of the family's 1831-position model. The record is from RNAcentral.